UACGAAGGGGGCUAGCGUUGUUCGGAUUUACUGGGCGUAAAGCGCACGUAGGCGGAUCGAUCAGUCAGGGGUGAAAUCCCAGAGCUCAACUCUGGAACUGCCUUUGAUACUGUCGAUCUGGAGUAUGGAAGAGGUGAGUGGAAUUCCGAGUGUGGAGGUGAAAUUCGUAGAUAUUCGGAGGAACACCAGUGGCGAAGGCGGCUCACUGGUCCAUUACUGACGCUGAGGUGCGAAAGCGUGGGGAGCAAACAGG
Molecule: ribosomal RNA, 253 nt
Filed under: uncultured bacterium
Lineage: Bacteria
Description: partial 16S ribosomal RNA
Rfam family: Bacterial small subunit ribosomal RNA
Source: RNAcentral